RNAcentral lists this unclassified non-coding RNA (368 nucleotides) under uncultured fungus. RNAcentral describes it as "partial contains 5.8S ribosomal RNA and internal transcribed spacer 2". The stretch from base 1 to 133 matches the Rfam family "5.8S ribosomal RNA", at positions 22 to 154 of the family's 154-position model. The record is from RNAcentral. Lineage: Eukaryota; Fungi.
UGGCUCUCGCAUCGAUGAAGAACGCGGCGAAAUGCGAUAAGUAAUGUGAAUUGCAGAUUUCAGUGAAUCAUCGAAUCUUUGAACGCACCUUGCGCUCCUAGGUCUUCCGAGGAGCAUGCCUGUUUGAGUGCCCAGAACUUCUCUCGGUCUUCUUCUUUUUUCCUUGCGAGAAGGAAGAGGAUCGGACGAUGGGAGCUCUGCCGUGAUCGUUCACGGCUCUCCCCAAAUGUGUUAGCUUGUGGGGGGACGAACCGCCGUUGGCUUGAUAAACAUCUUACGCCAUCGUGUUCGGACCGUAACACGGCUUCAUAACCGUCCCAGGACAAUUUCUGACCUCGGGCCUCAAAUCAGGUAGGACUACCCGCUGA